RNAcentral lists this transfer RNA (88 nucleotides) under Serratia symbiotica. Its description in RNAcentral is "tRNA-Ser". It matches the Rfam family "tRNA". Rfam says of the family: Transfer RNA (tRNA) molecules are approximately 80 nucleotides in length. Their secondary structure includes four short double-helical elements and three loops (D, anti-codon, and T loops). Further hydrogen bonds mediate the characteristic L-shaped molecular structure. tRNAs have two regions of fundamental functional importance: the anti-codon, which is responsible for specific mRNA codon recognition, and the 3' end, to which the tRNAs corresponding amino acid is attached (by aminoacyl-tRNA synthetases). tRNAs cope with the degeneracy of the genetic code in two manners: having more than one tRNA (with a specific anti-codon) for a particular amino acid; and 'wobble' base-pairing, i.e. permitting non-standard base-pairing at the 3rd anti-codon position. Lineage: Bacteria; Pseudomonadati; Pseudomonadota; Gammaproteobacteria; Enterobacterales; Yersiniaceae. The record is from RNAcentral.
GGAAGGAUGGCCGAGUGGCUUAAGGCAACGGUCUUGAAAACCGUAGAGUGUAACAGCUCCCAGAGUUCGAAUCUCUGUCCUUCCGCCA